GCAACUCGCCUACAUGAAGUCGGAAUUGCUAGUAAUCGCGGAUCAGCAUGCCGCGGUGAAUACGUUCCCGGGCCUUGUACACACCGCCCGUCACACCAUGGGAGUCGGUAACACCCGAAGCCUGUAGUCUAACCGCAAGGAGGACGCCGCCGAAGGUGGGGUUGAUGAUUAGGGUUAAGUCGUAACAAGGUAUC
This 194-nucleotide ribosomal RNA is filed under the name uncultured bacterium. RNAcentral describes it as "partial 16S ribosomal RNA". It matches the Rfam family "Bacterial small subunit ribosomal RNA", at positions 1307 to 1500 of the family's 1533-position model. The record is from RNAcentral.